AUACGGAGGGGGCUAGCGUUGUUCGGAAUUACUGGGCGUAAAGCGUACGUAGGCGGACUGAUCAGUUGGGGGUGAAAUCCCAGGGCUUAACCCUGGAACUGCCUUCAAUACUGUCAGUCUUGAGUUUGGGAGAGGUGAGUGGAAUUCCUAGUGUAGAGGUGAAAUUCAUAGAUAUUAGGAGGAACACCAGUGGCGAAGGCGGCUCACUGGCCCAUUACCGACGCUGAGGUACGAAAGCGUGGGGAGCAAACAGGAUUAGAAACCCUAGUAGUCC
This 274-nucleotide ribosomal RNA is filed under the name uncultured bacterium. RNAcentral's name for it is "partial 16S ribosomal RNA". It matches the Rfam family "Bacterial small subunit ribosomal RNA", at positions 523 to 796 of the family's 1533-position model. The record is from RNAcentral.